Molecule: long non-coding RNA, 2651 nt
Filed under: Vigna radiata
Lineage: Eukaryota; Viridiplantae; Streptophyta; Magnoliopsida; Fabales; Fabaceae
Description: long non-coding RNA (VRAD_LNC016517)
Source: RNAcentral
AAACACAUAGUUUUUAUACUUGUUCGACCACAAUGCCUACAUUUAGUGUCCUUCCACAACUAGGAAGCCAAUGCACUAUAUUAGUCAAGGUUUUUACACAAGAUUUCUAUAUAAACCUCCACGUCAAAAUAUAGACAAUCUCUCUAACCCUCUAACUAAAAGUAUAGGCAACAACACAAAGAUCUGCAACAAGAUAUCCCCUCUUCUUCAAUCUUCAACCCACUUUGAACAAUCCUCAAAGUGUACAGAACUCUACGUUCUCUUCCUGUAAUCCCAAAGGGCAGUCCAAUCUUCAUUAGAUUAAUAAGUCUUGAUCAAUAUGAUGAACACCAACAGUGCAGAAUUUGAUCAACCAGUAAUCACAUAAUUCUUCCUCGUAAAGACACUCUUCAAAGAAAUAUCUCCUCCAUCUUCUUGAUGAGUUCUUGGAGCGUUUUUCACAAAGAUCACAAUCUGAAACAACAAAUGAAAACUUUAGAUAAACCAAAGUCUCAUUCACUCUGUGAAUUACAGAAUCACGUCUAUUUAUAGAUUUCUAUGAAACAGAGACUCCUGUAGUCGACUUUGCCACUAAUGUAGUCGACUUUCAUCAGACAAUUAUAACAGUUAAAACAGUUAGCAGCAGUCAUAACAAAUAAAUUGAUUACGAAUUUAACUCAAUUGACUUGCAUUUAAUGCUUUAGCAUAAAAUUGAAAUAUAACCGUUAUAAAACAAAAGCAUUAACAAAAUUUCAAAACAUAUAACUAACUAAGUCGAAUUCACUGCGCAUGCAGUCGACUUUAACACUUCAAAACAAUUUUGAAAAACUUUUCAUUUCAAAAUUAUUCACAACACAGUUUUAGAAAAUUUGUUCAAAGUCACGAGUCUUAAUCGACUUACUUCAUAAUGAAGUCGACUUAANACUUGCAGUUUUGCCACACAAUAUAAGUUCAACAAAGUGCAUGUGGUUUUCUUUUCAGAAGCAUAUGUAAUGCAAUCACAAGUUAUGUAUCAAGUAUUAAAUCAGUGAAUAUGCAUACAUAUAUGAGAAUCAACACAAACAUGUUCUUUCAAUAUAUCAUUCACAAUAAAGAAUGGAACAUGUAACGCAUAACAAUACAUAUGUUAUUAAUAAUGUGUUGUCAUCAUAAAAAACUAGAACUCUGUGAGAUUAAGGUUUAACUAAACCAGUGUUUCCCUUAUCAACAAUCUCAACACCUGUCAUGUUGGUUAUUUAUGAUGACAACACAUUGAUAAUAAAAACACAUGAAUGUUGUCAUGUCACAACAAAAUGUUUUUGUAUUGUGUUGUAUGGUUAAUAUGUACAUGCUUACUGUGACAUAUGCACAUAUUGUAUUUGUCACAUUUGUUAACAUAUUGUGUUGAUUGAUGCAUACUAUUGUGUUUGUAAAGUGAUUAUAUCUAUGUAUGCACAAUGUAUGUUUUGGUUAUAUAAAAACCACAUGCACAAAAGCAUAUCUAAAUGACUUAAUGAUGAGUGUCGCCGCCCAAUCAAAUUUGAUUGCAAUUAGGUAUGCAGUAUAGACUAGGAAGUGACUCCUAGGUCGUCUCUCAAGGACCAAUUGUGGUUCAAAUCUUAGGUCUAACACGAAGGGGGGUUAAAGGUGUUUGAAAUGAUAAUUAAACUAAAUUAAAUCAUGAAAAUUAAACAUAACUAAACAGAAUUGAAAGUAUUAAAGUAAAUGUGGAAAACGGUAAAUUGAACCAUCCUAGAGAUAAAUAUCCAAACGCAAGUUAAGACUAUUAAAAUGCAAUGCUUGAGCUAAAAAGUGAAAUGCUCAAUGUAAAUUCAACAUGAAAAUUAUAAGAAAAAUCACCACCGGUUCAAGCAUAAAGGCAUGACAACAACAGCUUCUAGAAUUGAAAGAGCAUCUUCUCCUAAGCUAGACGCUAGAACCGAAUGCAUAUUCCAAACUGAAUGAAAACUAAAUCAACGUUUUUUUUUCCUUCAAGAAAAGAUAAUGUUCGCUCCUAAAAUUAAUCACCGCAUGUUCCCUCUUGCUCGACGUGACCCAAAAUAAAAAUGAAAUGCUAUGCUGGAUGCUACAAUGUGAAUGUUAGCUUUGUGCUUGAAUAAACUAAAAUUCAAUUCAAAAAAAAAAAAAAUUGCUAAAACCGUAACAGCAUGCUUCCUUUCUCCCAAUGAAUUUAUUUAAAGAAAGAUAAACAUAAAAAAAAUGAUGGAAUCAAAAUCAUUUAAAGUAAAAGGAAAGAUAAACGUAACUUUUUUGGAAUUAACAGUGAUGGAAUCAAAAUCAUUUAAAGUAAAAAUGCUAUACCAUUUCUUUUUUUUUUUAAUUGGAAAUAAAAAAACACAUUUAACGCUUUUCUAGAAUAAAAUAAAACUUCAAUAUAAAAGUGCUCGAAACCAAAAUGAAAUGCAGUAAAUCCAAUCGUGAGUGUAAUAUAAAAGAAGGCUUUUUGAAUGAAUCAGCGUGUGUGAUUUGAUGUGUAAGGCAGCAUGAAAGCUGCAACAAAGCAAUUGCACCUCCUUUUUCUUCAAUGAAAUCAGCGUCAAAGUGUAUUGUUGGCAAGGAGAGAAACGUUCCAGCAAAGAAAGCUUAAAAGCAAGUAAUGGAAACUUAAAAGCAAGUGGUUGGAUAUUUACAUUCAACCGGAAUCAAAAACUGUUAUCAUGGUUCAAAGAAAA